This 279-nucleotide ribosomal RNA is filed under the name uncultured bacterium. Its description in RNAcentral is "partial 16S ribosomal RNA". It matches the Rfam family "Bacterial small subunit ribosomal RNA", at positions 506 to 784 of the family's 1533-position model. The record is from RNAcentral.
UGCCAGCAGCCGCGGUAAUAUGGACGGUGCAUGCGUUGUUCGGAAUUAUUGGGCGUAAAGAGCAUGUAGGCGGACUGUUAAGUCUGGCGUGAAAGCCCGGGGCUCAACCCCGGAAGUGCGUUGAAUACUGGCAGUCUUGAGUAUGGGAGAGGAAAGUGGAAUUCCGAGUGUAGGAGUGAAAUCCGUAGAUAUUCGGGGGAACACCAGUGGCGAAGGCGGCUUUCUGGACCGAUACUGACGCUGAGACGCGAAAGCGUGGGGAGCAAACAGGGUUAGAUA